Long non-coding RNA from Neomonachus schauinslandi (Hawaiian monk seal), 226 nucleotides. RefSeq lists it as uncharacterized. The transcript has 3 exons. The record is from RefSeq and is a predicted model, not a curated record. Lineage: Eukaryota; Metazoa; Chordata; Mammalia; Carnivora; Phocidae.
CCAAUGAAGCUGCAUUAGACAAAGAAAUUGGGAUAUAGAAUACCCAUCCUUUCCAAGAGGGAGUCCACUGAAGUUCAGAAGAGCAGGUCUCAGGACAGUGGGGGCAGCUGCUUCCCUCUCUGAAGCAUGGCUCAGAUGUGGAGAAGGAUUUCAGGACACUUCUGAGACUCUGUCAUUAACAGCUGAAAAGAAGAUUGUUACAGAAAAGCACCUCGAAUUAUCCCCU